Molecule: ribosomal RNA, 411 nt
Filed under: uncultured Gammaproteobacteria bacterium
Lineage: Bacteria; Pseudomonadati; Pseudomonadota; Gammaproteobacteria
Description: bacterial SSU rRNA
Rfam family: Bacterial small subunit ribosomal RNA
Source: RNAcentral
GAGUUUGAUCUUGGCUCAGAGUGAACGCUGGCGGCAGGCCUAACACAUGCAAGUCGAACGGCAGCGCAGCAGUAGCAAUACUGUGGGCGGCGAGUGGCGGACGGGUGAGGAAUACAUCGGAAUCUACCUUGUCGUGGGGGAUAACGUAGGGAAACUUACGCUAAUACCGCAUACGACCUACGGGUGAAAGCGGCGGACCGCAAGGCGUCGCGCGAUUGGAUGAGCCGAUGUCCGAUUAGCUAGUUGGCGGGGUAAGAGCCCACCAAGGCGACGAUCGGUAGCUGGUCUGAGAGGAUGAUCAGCCACACUGGAACUGAGACACGGUCCAGACUCCUACGGGAGGCAGCAGUGGGGAAUAUUGGACAAUGGGCGCAAGCCUGAUCCAGCCAUGCCGCGUGUGUGAAGAAGGCC